Molecule: long non-coding RNA, 298 nt
Organism: Apus apus (common swift)
Lineage: Eukaryota; Metazoa; Chordata; Aves; Apodiformes; Apodidae
Exons: 3
Source: RefSeq, a predicted model, not a curated record
GCUGCCCGGGGGGGACGGCGGUGUGAAGGUCAGCGCCUGCGCCGGGCGGUCUUGGAGCUGGAAGCGCCGGAAAUGUGUCAGAGCGGCAGCCGCGCUUGCUGGUGCGACAAGAACUAGACCCUGAAUGAGUUGUGACAUUUGACAUCUGUGAGCUGACUUCUUGUGACAGAAGUUCUGCAACUCCUGAAAUGAUGAGAGCCUCCGUAAAUACAAGUACACAGAUCAAGUUGAUGAUACUCAAAUGUCACACGGUUGAUGUGUUUGCCACUGGAGACCAUUCGCAGCACAGUGUUGUCAC